This 494-nucleotide long non-coding RNA is filed under the name Bos taurus (domestic cattle). RNAcentral's name for it is "long non-coding RNA NONBTAT004979". Lineage: Eukaryota; Metazoa; Chordata; Mammalia; Artiodactyla; Bovidae. The record is from RNAcentral.
AGAUGACGUUGUCCAGAACGAUCAAGCCCCACAAAGCUAAGGAGACUGCUGAUCUUUCAAGGCACCUGGGGAUGUGAGAAAAGGAACGAACGGUUCUCUAACACCGACACAAAACCAGUGCCUAUUAAAUGAAAAGAGAUGAUGGAGUAUCACCUGUGCACAGACUCCAGUUCUCAGAAGUAAUACCUCACAUUUAAAGGACCAGAAGCCUUUCCAUUUGCAGGAAAAGAACUUACCCCCAAAAGGCCUCAAAAACGAGAAAUCAAUCAUGUGGCUAACUGCAUUUAAACAUGGCUAUUUCCAGACAGGUUUUAAUAUAAACAAAACUCAAAAAUAGGACCUUGGUGAAAUUAAAAUGUUCUUUCUUUUUUGGUUGAUUUAAAAAUGAUUAUUUUAUAUCAGUAAGUAACCAAAACAUUGUGCUGUUUCAACCAGGAAAUAAGCAGAAAUACUUAUUUCUGAUGGGACGUAAACGUCAUUAUGAUUAUGCUCUU